GGGUUGUGAGGUUAAGCGACUAAGCGUACACGGUGGAUGCCCUGGCAGUCAGAGGCGAUGAAGGGCGUGCUAAUCUGCGAUAAGCGCCGGUAAGGUGAUAUGAACCGUUAUAACCGGCGAUACCCGAAUGGGGAAACCCAGUGUGAUUCGUCACACUAUCAUUAACUGAAUCCAUAGGUUAAUGAGGCGAACCGGGGGAACUGAAACAUCUAAGUACCCCGAGGAAAAGAAAUCAACCGAGAUUCCCCCAGUAGCGGCGAGCGAACGGGGAGGAGCCCAGAGCCUGAAUCAGCAUGUGUGUUAGUGGAAGCGUCUGGAAAGGCGCGCGAUACAGGGUGACAGCCCCGUACACAAAAGCGCAUAUGCUGUGAGCUCGAUGAGUAGGGCGGGACACGUGGUAUCCUGUCUGAAUAUGGGGGGACCAUCCUCCAAGGCUAAAUACUCCUGACUGACCGAUAGUGAACCAGUACCGUGAGGGAAAGGCGAAAAGAACCCCGGCGAGGGGAGUGAAAAAGAACCUGAAACCGUGUACGUACAAGCAGUGGGAGCACAGGUUUACCUGUGUGACUGCGUACCUUUUGUAUAAUGGGUCAGCGACUUAUAUUCUGUAGCAAGGUUAACCGAAUAGGGGAGCCGGAGGGAAACCGAGUCUUAAUUGGGCGUUAAGUUGCAGGGUAUAGACCCGAAACCCGGUGAUCUAGCCAUGGGCAGGUUGAAGGUUGGGUAACACUAACUGGAGGACCGAACCGACUAAUGUUGAAAAAUUAGCGGAUGACCUGUGGCUGGGGGUGAAAGGCCAAUCAAACCGGGAGAUAGCUGGUUCUCCCCGAAAGCUAUUUAGGUAGCGCCUCGUGAAUUCAUCUCCGGGGGUAGAGCACUGUUUCGGCUAGGGGGCCAUCCCGGCUUACCAACCCGAUGCAAACUGCGAAUACCGGAGAAUGUUAUCACGGGAGACACACGGCGGGUGCUAACGUCCGUCGUGAAGAGGGAAACAACCCAGACCGCCAGCUAAGGUCCCAAAGUCAUGGUUAAGUGGGAAACGAUGUGGGAAGGCCCAGACAGCCAGGAUGUUGGCUUAGAAGCAGCCAUCAUUUAAAGAAAGCGUAAUAGCUCACUGGUCGAGUCGGCCUGCGCGGAAGAUGUAACGGGGCUAAACCAUGCACCGAAGCUGCGGCAGCGACACUAUGUGUUGUUGGGUAGGGGAGCGUUCUGUAAGCCUGUGAAGGUGGCCUGUGAGGGUUGCUGGAGGUAUCAGAAGUGCGAAUGCUGACAUAAGUAACGAUAAAGCGGGUGAAAAGCCCGCUCGCCGGAAGACCAAGGGUUCCUGUCCAACGUUAAUCGGGGCAGGGUGAGUCGACCCCUAAGGCGAGGCCGAAAGGCGUAGUCGAUGGGAAACGGGUUAAUAUUCCCGUACUUGGUGUUACUGCGAAGGGGGGACGGAGAAGGCUAUGUUGGCCGGGCGACGGUUGUCCCGGUUUAAGCGUGUAGGCUGGUUUUCCAGGCAAAUCCGGAAAAUCAAGGCUGAGGCGUGAUGACGAGGCACUACGGUGCUGAAGCAACAAAUGCCCUGCUUCCAGGAAAAGCCUCUAAGCAUCAGGUAACAUCAAAUCGUACCCCAAACCGACACAGGUGGUCAGGUAGAGAAUACCAAGGCGCUUGAGAGAACUCGGGUGAAGGAACUAGGCAAAAUGGUGCCGUAACUUCGGGAGAAGGCACGCUGACACGUAGGUGAAGUGAUUUACUCAUGGAGCUGAAGUCAGUCGAAGAUACCAGCUGGCUGCAACUGUUUAUUAAAAACACAGCACUGUGCAAACACGAAAGUGGACGUAUACGGUGUGACGCCUGCCCGGUGCCGGAAGGUUAAUUGAUGGGGUCAGCGCAAGCGAAGCUCCUGAUCGAAGCCCCGGUAAACGGCGGCCGUAACUAUAACGGUCCUAAGGUAGCGAAAUUCCUUGUCGGGUAAGUUCCGACCUGCACGAAUGGCGUAAUGAUGGCCAGGCUGUCUCCACCCGAGACUCAGUGAAAUUGAACUCGCUGUGAAGAUGCAGUGUACCCGCGGCAAGACGGAAAGACCCCGUGAACCUUUACUAUAGCUUGACACUGAACAUUGAGCCUUGAUGUGUAGGAUAGGUGGGAGGCUUUGAAGCGUGGACGCCAGUCUGCGUGGAGCCGACCUUGAAAUACCACCCUUUAAUGUUUGAUGUUCUAACGUGGACCCGUUACCCGGGUUGCGGACAGUGUCUGGUGGGUAGUUUGACUGGGGCGGUCUCCUCCUAAAGAGUAACGGAGGAGCACGAAGGUUGGCUAAUCCUGGUCGGACAUCAGGAGGUUAGUGCAAUGGCAUAAGCCAGCUUGACUGCGAGCGUGACGGCGCGAGCAGGUGCGAAAGCAGGUCAUAGUGAUCCGGUGGUUCUGAAUGGAAGGGCCAUCGCUCAACGGAUAAAAGGUACUCCGGGGAUAACAGGCUGAUACCGCCCAAGAGUUCAUAUCGACGGCGGUGUUUGGCACCUCGAUGUCGGCUCAUCACAUCCUGGGGCUGAAGUAGGUCCCAAGGGUAUGGCUGUUCGCCAUUUAAAGUGGUACGCGAGCUGGGUUUAGAACGUCGUGAGACAGUUCGGUCCCUAUCUGCCGUGGGCGCUGGAGAACUGAGGGGGGCUGCUCCUAGUACGAGAGGACCGGAGUGGACGCAUCACUGGUGUUCGGGUUGUCAUGCCAAUGGCACUGCCCGGUAGCUAAAUGCGGAAGAGAUAAGUGCUGAAAGCAUCUAAGCACGAAACUUGCCCCGAGAUGAGUUCUCCCUGAGACUUAGAGUCUCCUGAAGGAACGUUGAAGACGACGACGUUGAUAGGCCGGGUGUGUAAGCGCAGCGAUGCGUUGAGCUAACCGGUACUAAUGAACCGUGAGGCUUAACCUUACAACGCCGAAG
Molecule: ribosomal RNA, 2926 nt
Filed under: Salmonella enterica subsp. enterica serovar Fresno str. ST224
Lineage: Bacteria; Pseudomonadati; Pseudomonadota; Gammaproteobacteria; Enterobacterales; Enterobacteriaceae
Description: bacterial LSU rRNA
Rfam family: Bacterial large subunit ribosomal RNA
Source: RNAcentral